Mytilus trossulus (common blue mussel) is the source of this 538-nucleotide long non-coding RNA. RefSeq lists it as uncharacterized. The transcript is spliced from 3 exons. The record is from RefSeq and is a predicted model, not a curated record. Lineage: Eukaryota; Metazoa; Mollusca; Bivalvia; Mytilida; Mytilidae.
AGUCGGAUCCAAAGAAAUGAUUUAAACGGCAAAAAUAAAAUCAAACAUGAAAAUUGAAAUCCAAUAUAUCAUCAUUUCCUUAUAAUAUACUAGUAUUGAAUCAACUAUAUACUGGUGAAUUACUUUCGGAUUUCGGUCUAAGGAUGGAGAAAGAUGUUCACUAUGAAUCAAAAAUUCAAAACAGAGGACUUUUAUAUAUCAACAAAAACAAUUGCAGUACAUGCACAUAUACAUGUAUAAAAGUACACUGUCAGCAUGGUCAGAAGAAGAAUUUUACUGGAGGAUUAAAAUUUUGAUACCUGGAAUCAGCAAUGAAUAUGAAAAUGAAAAUGAUAUAUAUUCAUGUACAGAAUGGUAACCGAGGUGGUUCAAUUGUUUUAUUAGCAGACAUUUUUGUUGAACUUAUGCAGGAUUGAAUAAAUGAAACUUAAGCUGACUAUGGGCUCAAUGUGUAGUAAAAAGAGGAUUUUGAAAUAUAUGCAAGAUUCAUCAACAUUACAAUGUGCACAAGUGAAAUAUCACCAUAUUUAUUUGUGAU